AAAUACCAACACACUAGUUCUCUAUACUAGUAGCCUACACCUGAAGAGUAGUCAAGAGCUUCUUGAAGGUGCAGAGCACCUGCUCGCCAGCAUGUAGUAGCAAGAGCACAAGCUCUGUGUCAAGCAACCAAUUGGAGUCUCUCAGGUUUCCCAGGCCAAUCACAGCUCAAUAGCUAGAACAGUGCAAAUAAUCAACCAAUGAGAGAUCAACAGCAGCAUAGGCAACCAGCGCAUGAUACACUGAAUGGGUUUCCACAAAAGCUUCUCAUCCCUCCUCAGCCAAUUAGCAUUAGACAACCAUCAGGAGAGAGAAGGGGAAACAAAAGAACAAAAAGGGAGGAGCCUGGAGGAAGCCAUGAGCUCAAGCUCCACACAUCCGAGGGAGCACCUGGAGAGGGAGAGGAAAGGAGGAGAAGGAUGGCGGGGAAGCUGGAGGGAUGCACUGACCAGGAGGAUCGAGGCAACGGCCGCAGCCGCGUGCUUGUACUCGUGACCAUGAGUCCAUGACCGAAAUUGUCACUGAUGCAAAGAAUGACUGAACCGGCGAGGAAAGCAUUUAAGAGUGGGACUUUCACCCGUGCAUGAAGGCAAGUAGAGUGGGACUUUCACCCGUGCAUGAAG
This is a long non-coding RNA of Setaria italica (foxtail millet), 621 nucleotides long. RefSeq lists it as uncharacterized. NCBI's taxonomy places the organism in Eukaryota, Viridiplantae, Streptophyta, Magnoliopsida, Poales, Poaceae. The transcript has 2 exons. The record is from RefSeq and is a predicted model, not a curated record.